GACGAACGCUGGCGGCGUGCUUAACACAUGCAAGUCGAACGGAAAGGCCCUGCUUGCAGGGUACUCGAGUGGCGAACGGGUGAGUAACACGUGGGUGAUCUGCCCUGCACUUCGGGAUAAGCCUGGGAAACUGGGUCUAAUACCGGAUAGGAGCCAUUUUUAGUGUGAUGGUUGGAAAGUUUUUUCGGUGUAGGAUGAGCUCGCGGCCUAUCAGCUUGUUGGUGGGGUAAUGGCCUACCAAGGCGGCGACGGGUAGCCAGCCUGAGAGGGUGGACGGCCACAUUGGGACUGAGAUACGGCCCAGACUCCUACGGGAGGCAGCAGUGGGGAAUAUUGCACAAUGGGCGCAAGCCUGAUGCAGCGACGCCGCGUGGGGGAUGACGGCCUUCGGGUUGUAAACUCCUUUCGCUAGGGACGAAGCUUUUGUGACGGUACCUAGAUAAGAAGCACCGGCUAACUACGUG
Molecule: ribosomal RNA, 464 nt
Filed under: uncultured bacterium
Lineage: Bacteria
Description: partial 16S ribosomal RNA
Rfam family: Bacterial small subunit ribosomal RNA
Source: RNAcentral